RNAcentral lists this ribosomal RNA (1125 nucleotides) under Triticum aestivum (bread wheat). RNAcentral's name for it is "partial small subunit ribosomal RNA". Lineage: Eukaryota; Viridiplantae; Streptophyta; Magnoliopsida; Poales; Poaceae. The record is from RNAcentral.
ACGCGGCGGCUCCCGUAAAAACAGUAAAGCGUAGGCCCGCAUAUUUUCGGUUGGCGAGGACACCUCUCCUGGACCGGCGGCGAGAGGAGAAGGACGGCGGAGCCGAGUGAGGAGGGUAGAGUCGAGAGAGGAGGGAGGUUUGGGAUCGGGGCGUGCGGCGGCCAGCGCGCCGAGGCGGAGGAUGAGAGGAGGAGGGGAACUUCGGGCUCGCGCAGACUGGCGCCCCACCGGCCGCCGUUGCCCGCUCGCCCCCGCCGACCCGCGCGGCUCGCCCCCGGCCACACCGUCCGCUUGUCGCCGUCGGCCUCCGCUCCGGUUCCCGCCCGCUCGUCGUUCGCGUGCCCCGACCGCUCCGCCGCGCCCGCGCCCGCCGACCGCGCAGACGCCCGCCGUCGCCGUUGUCGCGCGUCGUCGUCCGUCGCCGCUGGCGCUCGCGCGCCCCGACCGCUCCUACGCCGUCGCACCGUCCCGCCGCUCGUUGCCCUUCAUCGUCCUCGAGCGGCGCGCACACCUCGACGCACCUGGUCACCCAGCUGCGAGGCACGAGAGGGAUGCGGCGUCGUCGGAGAAGCGCAGAGGGGCGGGGACAGCGGCGGCCACUGGGGACACGGGGAAGAAGAGGCACGAGCCGGUGGGGCGCGGUGACGACGUGGACAGCGAAGAGGGAGGCGGAGAUCUGACCCGUACACCUCGCGCCGCGACAGCGGUAACAGGAGCUGCAUGUCCCUCGCGACCGACGUCUCUUCCGGUAGGUGCCACGGCAGCGGGGUGUUGUCUCUUCCAGCUCUUCCUAAGACCCACCAAACCGGAUAGGGAAUACGAAAAGGAAAAAGGGAAAAGUUAAAUGCGAAACGACGAGAAGCUAAACUAGGUAAUGUCACAACAUCGACGUUCACAACCUGACCAGCAAGGAGAUUGGCCUCCGGAACGCUACCAAGACAACCCAAGUCCAUUUUGGGCCGUUACUUGAAAUCUCAAUCAUAGGAGUUCAAUGAAAAAUUGACGUAAUGAUCUGUCGCCAACCGAAAGUCAAUGGUCCAAUCAUAGUAUAGACUUUCUUACCGUUAACACUGUCAUUGAAAUACGACGAACUAUGACACGACAUGAUGUGUAUAUAUAGUAAUG